Molecule: ribosomal RNA, 253 nt
Filed under: uncultured bacterium
Lineage: Bacteria
Description: partial 16S ribosomal RNA
Rfam family: Bacterial small subunit ribosomal RNA
Source: RNAcentral
UACGUAGGGGGCAAGCGUUGUCCGGAUUUAUUGGGCGUAAAGAGCGUGUAGGCGGCCAUACAGGUCAGCUGUGAAAACUCGAGGCUCAACCUCGAGACGUCGGUUGAAACCGUAUGGCUAGAGUCCGGAAGAGGAGAGUGGAAUUCCCGGUGUAGCGGUGAAAUGCGCAGAUAUCGGGAGGAACACCAGUGGCGAAGGCGGCUCACUGGCCCGGUACUGACGCUGAGGUGCGAAAGCGUGGGGAGCAAACAGG